AAUUGACGGGGAGCACACAACAGGUGGAGCCUGCGGUUUAAUCGGACUCAACGCCGGGAAACUCACCAGAUAAGACAGCUGAAUGAUAGUCGGGCUGAAGACUCACUUGACUAGCUGAGAGGAGGUGCAUGGCCGUCGUCAGUUCGUACUGUGAAGCAUCCUGUUAAGUCAGGCAACGAGCGAGACCCACGCCAACAGUUGCCAGCUCGUCCUCCGGGAUGGUGGGGACACUGUUGGGACCGCCUCUGCUAAAGAGGAGGAAGGAAUGGGCAACGGUAGGUCAGCAUGCCCCGAAUUAUCUGGGCUACACGCGGGCUACAAUGGGUGGGACAAUGGGUAUCGACACCGAAAGGUGAAGGCAAUCUCCUAAACCUGUCCUUAGUUCGGAUUGUGGGCUGCAACUCGCCCACAUGAAGCUGGAAUCCGUAGUAAUCGCGUUUCAAAAUAGCGCGGUGAAUAUGUCCCUGCUCCUU
This 473-nucleotide ribosomal RNA is filed under the name uncultured Methanomicrobiales archaeon. RNAcentral's name for it is "bacterial SSU rRNA". It matches the Rfam family "Archaeal small subunit ribosomal RNA", at positions 863 to 1338 of the family's 1478-position model. Lineage: Archaea; Methanobacteriati; Methanobacteriota; Methanomicrobia; Methanomicrobiales. The record is from RNAcentral.